RNAcentral lists this ribosomal RNA (385 nucleotides) under uncultured bacterium. Its description in RNAcentral is "bacterial SSU rRNA". It matches the Rfam family "Bacterial small subunit ribosomal RNA", at positions 28 to 414 of the family's 1533-position model. The record is from RNAcentral.
GACGAACGCUGGCGGCGUGCUUAACACAUGCAAGUCGAGCGGUAAGGCCCUUUCGGGGGUACACGAGCGGCGAACGGGUGAGUAACACGUGGGUGACCUGCCCUCAGCUCUGGGAUAAGCCUGGGAAACUGGGUCUAAUACCGGAUAUGACUCCAUGACGCAUGUUGUGGGGUGGAAAGCCUUGUGCGGCUGAGGAUGGGCCCGCGGCCUAUCAGCUUGUUGGUGGGGUGAUGGCCUACCAAGGCGACGACGGGUAGCCGGCCUGAGAGGGCGACCGGCCACACUGGGACUGAGACACGGCCCAGACUCCUACGGGAGGCAGCAGUGGGGAAUCUUGCGCAAUGGGCGAAAGCCUGACGCAGCGACGCCGCGUGAGGGAUGACGG